GGGUGGACAGGUGGUGCAUGGUUGUCGUCAGCUCGUGUCGUGAGAUGUUGGGUUAAGUCCCGCAACGAGCGCAACCCUCGACCUUAGUUGCCAGCAUUCAGUUGGGCACUCUAAGGUGACUGCCGGCCAAAAAGUCGGAGGAAGGUGGGGAUGACGUCAAAUCAUCAUGCCCCCUUAUGACCUGGGCUACACACGUGCUACAAUGGGCGGUACAAAGGGUCGCGAACCCGCGAGGGGGGAGCCAAUCCCAAAAAGCCGCUCUCAGUUCGGAUUGCAGGCUGCAACUCGCCUGCAUGAAGCCGGAAUCGCUAGUAAUCGCGGAUCAGCAUGCCGCGGUGAAUACGUUCCCGGGCCUU
Molecule: ribosomal RNA, 356 nt
Filed under: uncultured Anoxybacillus sp.
Lineage: Bacteria; Bacillati; Bacillota; Bacilli; Caryophanales; Anoxybacillaceae
Description: bacterial SSU rRNA
Rfam family: Bacterial small subunit ribosomal RNA
Source: RNAcentral